GUGGUCAUUCCAGCAGCAUAUAUACUAAAAUUGUAAUGAUACAGAGGUUAGCAUGACCUCUGAACAAGGAUGACAGAAAUUUGUGAUGUGUUCCAUGGUUUU
Molecule: non-coding RNA, 102 nt
Organism: Otolemur garnettii (small-eared galago)
Lineage: Eukaryota; Metazoa; Chordata; Mammalia; Primates; Galagidae
Source: Rfam